This 347-nucleotide unclassified non-coding RNA is filed under the name Hevea brasiliensis (rubber tree). The record is from RNAcentral. Lineage: Eukaryota; Viridiplantae; Streptophyta; Magnoliopsida; Malpighiales; Euphorbiaceae.
GCUAGUGAAUUUGUUGAAAUGUUUGUUGGAAGAGGAGCUGCUCGCAUUAGAGACCUUUUCAGUGUAGCAAGAAAGAAUGCUCCUUCAAUCAUUUUCAUUGAUGAACUAGAUGCUGUCGGAGGAAAGCGUGGCAGGAGUUUCAAUGAUGAGAGAGACCAAACCUUGAAUCAGUUGCUCACAGAGAUGGAUGGCUUUGAAUCGGACUUGAAUAUCAUUGUAGUUGCUGCUACUAAUAGACCAGAAGCUCUAGAUCCAGCACUAUGUCGGCCUGGACGUUUCUCCAGGAAAAUCUUAGUGGGAGAACCUGAUGAAGAUGGAAGGAGAAAGAUCCUGGCUGUACACUUGAG